This 2266-nucleotide unclassified non-coding RNA is filed under the name Eurytemora carolleeae. RNAcentral describes it as "uncharacterized LOC111704142". The record is from RNAcentral. Lineage: Eukaryota; Metazoa; Arthropoda; Copepoda; Calanoida; Temoridae.
CGUCAGUCUCUAGCAAAUUAUAGCGUCAGACUCUAGCAUAUUUUAGCGUCAGACUCUAGCAAAUUAUAGCGUCAGACUCUAGCAUAUUUUAGCGUCAGACUCUAGCAAAAACUAGUUCUUCAGCAGUCCAAAAACGUCACAGCAAAGUGUAUGGAAACCCUAUCGCCCCCUCCUUCUAUUCAAUAUCUCCUUGCUAAAUACCAUGACACUAAAGAAAGAGCGUUUGAAAGAAAAAGAAGACUUGAAACAUGGUUAGAAAAAUCUUUCAUAAAUCCUCGUCUUCGACAUAUUGAGAAAAAAGCUGAGCGUGCAAAACAACGAUGUUUGCGAGAUACAAAUCCAGCGAAAUCUGGUAUUUCAUUUCAGGAACAUGAUCUUCCGCGCUAUUUUAGUUCAGAUUCAUUCGAAUUUAUAGCACCGGAGAAAAUCAAAUUUCAAGAGCACUGGGAAUCAAGGGAUACUAAGUUUUCCAUCAGUGAAAAUGCAACUAACAUUAACCACAUAAUUCCAUACCAAGUCCAUACAAACGUACUGCACGUUCUACUCUGCUCUACAGAUGUACUCACUGUAGACACUUUCUACCUUGUCCGUGUAACCACUUCAGUAUCUGCAUUAGAUCAGAAGAAUUUUAGUUACUGCUCCAUCGAAACUACAUUGGUAUUUUUUGAUGAUUGCGUCAACACUACAAACAACAGGAGCAGAUUUUUCUCCGUGUCAAGUUCUAAUGUAUGUGGAAGUGAGGAAGAUGAGUGUUGGGAGUAUCUAAACGAUGAAGAAUAUCAGUCAGACAAUUCAGAAGAAUGGGUGUACGAAGAAUAUGCUAUUGAGGAGGUUGUUCCUGAUUUUCCUUGUAAAAAGCUACAGAGUCCUUGGUCAUCAUCGGAAAUAAGAUUUCCUUUGCCAAGAGAAUGUAUGGAAAGUAGUUCCAGAUUAGAAGCUUUGUUUCAAGAUUUACUUGACAAAGAAAGCAGUAUUCUGAUGGAUAUUCAAUCAGACGAGGAUAUUCCUAUAGAAAAGAGAAAAGAGCUCAAACCAAGCAUUUUAAAAUCUAAUUGUCCAAAGGAUAAACAGGGCAGAUUGCAUGGACAGGGGGAAAUCUUUUACUCCAAUGGAUCCAAAUUUACAGGAAGAUUAUUUCAUGGAUGUAGAGAGGGAGUGGGCGUUUUGGAAUAUUUAAAUGGGGAUAUGAUCACAGGAGAUUAUAAGAGGGAUAAACUGAAUGGUUGGUGUGAAUUUGUAUCUGAAAAUACUGGCCUCUGGAGGCAAAAUUAUUUCAGAGAUGGCUAUGAAUGUGGAUACUACAGGACUAUUUAUACAGACAGUACAGUCGAAUUUGGUAAAAUUGGAUCUAAUUCAGUUUGGAGGUUUUUAGAAGGAGGGGCUGCAAUGUUCGGAACAAUAAAUAAAAAUGGAAAAUUCGAGGGUCAUGACAUUUUAUACCUCUACCCUGGUUAUAGAAUCUGUAUUAAUGGCGAGUAUACCGAAGGCAAGCUAAAAUCUGGAUAUGAAUGCAUUUUAAAAAAGUUAAAAAUCAACAAUGGAAUGCCGAGGCCGGAAAUAUGGAAAUUAAGAAACACAAGAACACUGUCCUAUGAGUUUCCUGGCACACAUUGUCCUGCAAAGAAUUUGCAUUUGCGAGAUAUAAUUGAUAUUAUCAAUGUGUAUGUUGAUCAAUCUAAUAUACCUUACGCUGGGGAAGGGCUUUUUGCAAAGAAAUUUAUUAAAAAAGAAUGAUGUCAUCUUUACCUUGAACAAUUGAAUAGAUUCAAUCUUUUAUCAGGAGAAUAUUUGAUUCAUGUCAGGAGAACAUUUGAUUCAAUUUUAUGUCAGGAGAAUAUUUGAUUCAAUUUUAUGUCAGGAGAAUAUUUGAUUCAAUUUUAUGUCAGGAGAAUAUUUGAUUUAAUUUUAUGUCAGGAGAAUAGUUGAUUCAAUUUUAUGUCAGGAGAAUUUUUGAUUCAAUUUUAUGUCAGGAGAGCAAUUAAUCCAAUUUUAUGUCAGGAGAACAAUUAAUCCAAUUUUAUGUCAGGAGAGCAAUUAAUCCAAUUUUAUGUCAGGAGAGCAAUUAAUCCAAAAUUCUGUCAGGAGUACAAUAAAUCAAAUUUUAUGUCAGCAGAACAAUUAAUCCAAUUUUAUGUCAGGAGAUCAAUUAAUCCAAUUUUAUGUCAGGAGAACUUGUUGUUUUAUUCAACGGUGCACGAAAAAGGAAAAUAUCUAGGGAACACCAGUUUGAAGAAUUCAGUGAUUACUGUAUACGUGUGGACUCCGU